Molecule: non-coding RNA, 21 nt
Filed under: Caenorhabditis elegans
Lineage: Eukaryota; Metazoa; Nematoda; Chromadorea; Rhabditida; Rhabditidae
Source: RNAcentral
UAUAACACUCCCAUAGUUAAA